AAGACAAUUGACCAUCUCCAAUAUCUAGAACUUUCAGAUAAGGGAAUGAGGGUACUUCGGACAAAAAUCAAGAUGUUCGAUGUAAACCAGCUCUUUUGAGAUUCUUACCCACAUGAUUUUUCUUUCUCUCUAUAGGAUCUUUAGUUUCAGUUUGUCUAAAUCUGCCUUCUUCUUCCUCUGUAAUGCAAAGAGAUGACUCGCUCAAGGAUCCAACACCCUCCUCGUCCGUGAUGAUGAGACGACACCAUUCUGGACGUGUUUUCUCCAUCUCCUCCUGCUCCAUCAUUCUUCUUGUUGUCCAUGUCCUUGGAACCCGAUACAGGUCCAGAUACGAAAGACAUCAAUCAAUUCAACUCGCUUCUCCCUCAAGCCUUGAGACUCCAAGUGUCAAAAUAUCGGUGCAUGUCCCUCUUCCCACUCCUUAAUCCAUAUUUUAUAACCAGAAAAGGUAACAAAUGUUUGUAUUGUAGAUAGGAGUAGUUCUGGUUCCUCUCUUGUUGUUUUCUUUCUUAACUAUUGUGUACCAAUUUUCUUUUAAUUUCGUCAUCAUCCAGGUGGUGGAUAGAUAUAAUUUACAAUCGCUGGUGAUUUCAAAACAUCAGGGUCUGGAACAUUGAAGCAUAACUGAUUGAUUUUGGUGAAACGCAACUGGAGAGAAAAAUUGAUAUUGGCAUAAGGUGCUUACCAUAACAUCAUAGAUGAAACAAAUGAAAGUCCUUUGAAGGAGAGCGUAACCAGCGAGACCCAUUUCACUGUUGUGACCCAAGAAAGCUUGAGCUACCACUACGCAGCCAAACGACAUCACUCUGAACAAAGACGAUGGUAAAGCUAUUCUCCACAUCUUCCUUAUAAAACUCCAGAUCUUUUUUCUUAGUUAGAUACUGUUUCUCCUCUGUUCUAUCUCUGGCCCAUUUAGCAGUCUCUCUUCCAUUUCUACAAUCAAAAGAAAAUAUAUUAUAAUUAUUAUUUAUAUGAACACAUGCCACAAAGAUAAAUUAAGUUUCUCUCAGUUUCAUCCUAGUUCAAGAAGAAAAUUAAACAGAAGAGAACCAUUUUUUUUGUUUUGAGAACCCAGGGAAACAAAUUAUUACCCAGAAUACCAUUCUUAACAUUUUUUCUUUCAGUUAACUUAAUAAUCCAUCAAAAAAAAACAAACCAGUGAAUAUAAUAUUUUCUCUGUUUCAACUUGUCAAUUAAGUCAAUCUAACAAUCGUUGUUGUAUUUGUUUCAUUAUAGUUAUGAGCAAGAGAUUUUACCUGAUUGCUUCACACAGUAUUCAACAGGGAGCUUCUCUUAACUAUGUGUCCAUGCCUCUUUAUGUUUCAAGUACAUGGACGGCACCAGAUUGAAAGGUUAGCAUCAGAAUUUCUAAGUAAUUGUGUAAUUGUUUGGGACAGAUUCAAGCACACCUGCUAUAUUUUAUCUUACAAACCACUCAUUAGGCUAAAAGUAAACAAUUGCGUUCACAAAAUAAAUCUUACUGAAAGUAUGAAAAAGAAUACCAUAUAAAAAAUAUAACACACAAACUCUAUAAUGAAACUGCAAAAAAAAAUUGGAUAAGAAGCUGAAAUGUUUGUUCAAACCUUGGUAACUCACUUUUAUAUGCGGUGCUUGGAAUCUUACAUAAAAAUAGAUUUAUCUUUAUAAGGUUUUGUAUUGUAAGAAAGACAUAUAUAGUGACUCACUUAUAGAAUUAAUAUGUAUAUAUAUAUACAUAUAGUCAAUGUGAUAAAUUAUAAUAUUGAAUAAUCAAAGCACGACAUAUAAAAUCACCGGCUUUUAGCAAGAGAUUUAAUUUAGACUAGGAUAAGACCCGCGCCUUGCGCGGGAUUAAGUUAUUAUUUUUAUUAUAUUUUGGAGAAUGAAACAAUAGUUUGGCUUCAUAUAGAUUACGGGUGUUCAAUCCGGAUAUCGGGUUGGUUUCGGUUCGGUUCGGUUUUUUUCGGUAUUUGGUUAGUAAAAUAUAACUACUAUUCUAAAUCCAUAUUUACUUUGACUUUAGUCUUUAACAUACUUUUGAAAGAUUUCAACUGGACGAAUAAAUUGAUCAGCCAAUCUUAUUGCUUUAAAUCAUUAGUGUUUAUAUAUAUAUAUAUAUAUAUAUAUAUUAUUUAGUUUGAAUAUUUAUUAAAUAAAAAUUCAUAUGCGUUAUAUUUUAUGAUCAUUUGUAACUUAUUAUAACAAAAAAAUAAUCUAUUGAUCACAAAAUUUUCACGUGGGAAUAUUCAAAUUUCUAAUAAUAUAUAGACUUUUUGAAAAAUUCAAAUAUAACAUAUAAGAAAAAAUAUAAAUGUUUUUAUUAUAUAUUUAAUGUGAUUUUUUAAUAUCUUUCAAUAAUAUAAAAUUAAAAAAAAAGAACGAAGAUACCAAAAUUGUUAUCAAAUAUUUAUUAUUCAUAAUAAUUAAUUUUCAUAUAUACGUUAAUCAUAUUAGGUAAUUUUGUAGCUUUUAAUUAAGGAAAGUGCAAAAAAAAUUUUGGUAGAUUAUUUAUCAAUUCGAUAGUUAGUUUAAUAAAAAAUAUAAUGUAAGUCAAGAUGGACCAACCUAUUUUUCUAAGAAUAGUAUAUUUUAUAUAGUCAUUUAUUAAACGAGAAUUUAUAAUCAUAGAGUUCUAUGAUCAUUCAUAUCAUUUUAUAACUGAAUAUUUAAAUCAUCGAUAACAAAAUUUUCAAUGUGAAAUCUUUAAUAAGUUUAUAAUUUAUAAAUGUUUUUGAAAAUUCAUUAAAAGUUUUAAUAUUAAAAUAUUUAUGUAAUCUUAUGGUAUAUAGUAUAAUCUAUAUAUAUAUAUAUAUAUAUAUGUAUGUUUUAUUAUUAAAUGAUAUUUUUUACUCAUAUGGUUUUAAAAUAAUGUGUAUCUUCUUAUAAUAUUAAAUAAAAGUUCAUAUUAAUACAAUUUUAUGAUCAUUUGUAACUUAUUAUGACAAAAAAAAUAAUCUAUUGAUCACAAAAUUUUCAGUGUGGGGAUCUUCAAAUUUCUAAUAAUUUAUAGAUGUUUUGAAAAAUUCAAAAUAUAACAUAUAAGAAAAAUUAUAAAUGUUUUUAUUAUAUAUUUAAUGUGAUUUUUAAAUAUAUUUUAAUAAUAUAAAAUUAAAAAAAAAGAACUAAGAUACAAAAAUUGUUAUCAAAUAUUUAUUAUUCAUUAUAAUUAAUUUUCACAUAUACGUUAAUCAUAUUAGGUAAUUUUGUAGCUUUUAUUUAAGGAAAGUGCAAAACAUUUUUUGGUACGUUAUUUAUCAAUUCGAUAGUUAGUUUAAUAAAAAGUGUAAUAUAAGUUAAGAUGGACCAACCUAUUUUUCUAGAAAUAGUAUAUUUUGUAUAGUUAUUUAUUAAAUAAGAAUUUAUAAUCAUACGGUUCUAUGAUCGUUCAUAUCGUUUUAUAACAAAAUAUUUAAAUCAUCGAUAACAAAAUUUUCAAUCUGAAAUCUUUAAUAAGUUUAUAAUUUAUAAAUGUUCUUGAAAAUUCAUUGAAAGUUUUAAUAUUAAAAUAUUUAUGUAAUCUUAUGGUAUAUAGUGUUUAAUAUAUAUAUAUAUAUUUUAUUAUUAAAUGAUAUUUUUUACUCAUAUGGUUUUAAAAUCAUGUGUAUCUUCUUAUAAUAAAAAUGUUAAACCAUUGAUCAUUAAUUUUUAACAUAAUAAUUUUAAUAGUUUUAGUCAUUUAUUGUCGUUUUUAAAAAUUCAAAAUAUAACAUAUACGAAAAAAUCUAAAUUUUAUUUUUAUAGCUAAUUUGAUUGUUUAAUUUAUUUUAAUAAUAUAAAAUUAAACAGAAAAUGAUGGAGGAGAUAUACAUUGUUAUCAAAUCUUUAUUAUUAAACUCAUUAAUUGUCAUAUAUAUUAGUCAUUUAUGGUAAUUCCGUAGGUUUUAUUUAAGGAAAGAAAAUAUCAUAUCAUAUCAUUAUAUCAUAUAGUUUGACCAACUUAUGUAUCUAACAACAUAUAAAAAUCGAAUGUGGACCUACUUAUUUUUCAAUUGAAUGUAAUUGACUACCUAAUUGAGUGCCACCUAUGCAUUGGAGCCUCUUUUAAUUAAUACAAAAUUGAGGUUACAUCUUUUCAAAUGUUCCUCAAUUAAUAUAUAAGGGAUUGAUGCGGUCAAUAAUAUCUUACCAAAAUUGUAAGUUAUCAGUUUAUAUAUUUUGAUUGUCCGUGCAUACAAAGUUUCACAUUAACAAAAUUAUAUAUUUGCUUUCUUAACACAUAUUCGAAAAUAAUGGCAUAAUUAACUGAGGAGAGAUUCACUCUGCACACAAAAUAUAACUCAAGGUCACGUGAAUGAUGUGAACAUAUGAGCUAAAACAUACAGAUAAGAUAUGGAACGAUAACCGAAUCAUAGAAUGUAAUAUAACAAAUCAUAAUUUCAAAUAUAUGUUGUUUGAGUUGAACGGCUUCUCUAUUGUAUGAGUUACUUUUUAUUUUUGUUUCAGAAAUGUUAAACAAUAACAUGAGAUGUGCACAAGUGUGUAAAUUCAACGGUAGAGUUCGUGAGUAUUGUUCGUCAUAACAUGCUUGUAUAAUGGAGUAAGUGUCUUUGGUACGUGUAAAUUCAUUAGUUUAUCUUGAUGAAUAAGACUUCGAAAUGUUAAUGUCAAAAUGUCUCCAAGUACAAUGGAAUAAAACUUGGAGACAUCUUGGAUCCAAUUCCUUAGGAGAACUGGUGCCAAUAGGUGUGAUAGGAAGCUUAAGUUUAGUUGUAAAGAAUAUGUUUGUAUAGACCAAUAUGACAUAUCGUUUUGAACAGGUAUGGUAAUAAGCUUGAGUUUAAUUAUCGAGACUAUGCUUGUAUAGAGCAAUAUGACAUUAUUUUGAACCGAAAGACAUAUUGUCAUGAACAAACGUAACUACAAUAUAAUGUCAUUCUACUUAAUUGGGAAACGUUUUGUUUAUAUCGUAGGUGAGAAUGAAUAAGUCGAGUUCUUCUGCUGGAGUGGGUUCCAUUGUAAAACAUGUCGAGUCGAGCUUUAGAGAUUAUAUACGAAGUUGUGGUGGAGAAAACCGGUUAAGAAAGCUUGACGAUUGAAGUGAGUUAUUGACUUAUUUUAUGUACCGUGUAAUGUCCUAUGUUAAAGAAAAAAUGUGUAAUAGGUACCAAUGGCAAUACUUGUAAAUAUCCUAGUAAUUAAAGGCUUAUUAACUAAGAUUGAUGAGGAGAGCUGUGAGCUUGCCACAUCAGCAAAAAUGGCAAAAUUGUUAUUAAUCUACCAAAGCAAGGUUACUCUUACCAAUUGCUUCUCUAUUAAUAAUAAGGGGAUGAGAAAUCAUCACAAAAACUACGAGAAUCUUUGUGAUUUACAACAGCUGUGUGGUUCUUCCUCCUGUGAUCUCGAAAAUGAUUUAUAGGGGUGUCAAGAAUACGAUCUUGGAAGCAAUUUCGUACCCUCUUGUCUCUUUGUAUCACUUAAUCUUUGUGUAAUGUUGUUUUGGUUGCUCUACCUUGUUUUUAUUUGUUUUUGCCGAGUUAGAGUAUUUUUUAGAUUCUACUUUAUAAAAUCUGAGCAUCAUUAAUAUAAUAUUAGCAUUAUUAGCAAAAAAAAAACUUACGAGAAUCAAAUGUGUAUAUAAAACAUCUUUAUAUAUAUAAAAGACUUUGUUUAUCUCCUGGGUGUGCCAACGAGGACACCACGUCAUAAAUCCAAGCCCUGCCGCGUCGACACGUCAGAAACUCACCGUUUCACUAAAGCGUUCUUAUAUGGUUACGGGCUUUGCGGUGGGCUUUGUCAUGCAAUUUGAUGUUAAGGCCCGACGACAAACAAAUUUGGUAAGAACCCUAAUCCGGGUUGGAGAGCGCCUCCGUGUUCUUCGCUUCUCUCAUUGGCGGAGACGACGAUUUGGAUUUCUUUAACGUUAUGCGUUGUGAUUUUCUCCCAUAAAUCCUCUUAAUUCGUAAACUCACUACCAGACCUUUCGAUUGCAUCGUUUGUCGACUAAAUCGUGUAUAAAUAUCUCUCUUAUGCUAACCACGACUUCCACAUCUCUCUUCUACACAUCUUAUGCUCAUCUCUGUGCUCAUCUCUGUUAAUGGCUAACACGACUGCUUUUUUUUUUUAUCUGAAGUCUGGGCGGUGCUCAUCCGUUGUAGAGGCCAGACUGCUUCGAUUCUGGAGGCUAGGAAUGUUAAGCGUGGUGGAGAGCCUAUGUGGAUGGAUUUGUUCAUGGUGGAUGUUAACGUGAGUGGUUUUUUGUUCUCUUCUUUGUAUCAAACGUUCUGGGUUAAUAUUAACAAUCGUGCCGUUAUUAUUUCUCUGUGAGCUCUAGGCUGUUUAUAUGUUUGAUAUUUUUUCCGGUGAACCUGAUCGUGUCUUACUUUUAAAAAAUUUCUUAAUUUUUUUUAGAUGCUGAUGUGCAUUGUUUCUUGAAUUUUUGUAAGUACAUGCAUAGAUAGAUAGGUCGUUGUGAAUAGAGCUAUCAAUUUCUCAUGCAAUCAAGUUCACCCACUAAUUCUUCUUCAAUGGAACUUUAAUCCAGAUGAACAGAUUACAUGAUGAACAGAUUAAUGAUUUGUUGUAUUACAAAUGAACAGAUUAAUGAUUUGUUGUAUGCUGAUCCAUCUCAUGAUUUGUUGUACGCUGAUCCAUCUCAUGAUUUAUUGUAUUACAGAUGAACAGAUUAAUGAUUUGUUGUACGCUGAUCCAUCUCUUAUUUGCUUAAGUACCUCUAACUCUGUAAUUACAGAUGAACAGAUUAAUGAUUUGUUGUACGCUGAUCCAUCUCAUGUCACUUGCCAACACAAACACUGGUUUUCCAGGUUUCAAUUGUAAACCAUACUAUACAAAUUAUAAAUUUCACUGCCAAGUAGCCUUAAUAUUUUCUUUGGUUAGCAGACUUGGUUGGCGAAGUCAGGGGCAUUAAAACAAUUUACAACGAAGAGACCCAGAGUACUUAACGUCUCAAGACAACCACAAGGCUUGAUAGGUAUAUGACAACCCUGGUGUUCUUUUUUUAAUUUCCCCCAUUACACACAUUGGUGACUUGCACGUUUGUUCAAGGAUGAAAAACAUGGAGUUUGGCCUCCGGCCCUCCGCAGGCACUCGACUGUCUGCUUGAGUGUAUUUGGUGGGCUUGCUGGGCAGAAGGACAAAAAAAGGCGCUACUCUGAUGUAGAGUAGACCAAAGUUUGUUGUUGGAACAAAUAUAUAUACCCAAAGUUUGUUGGAGGUAAGAACGAACUCUCUUUUAGGAUUUGUACACUAGGGUCUUGGGGUUAAGUUGUGGUUGUGUUCAAUACAUAAGUGAACAAAUUUUUUUUUAAAAAUGUCUACCCUAAGUUUGAGGGAGCCCCUCUUUCACGCUAAGUUGCUAUAUAUUGACGCCUAACCACGUUUAAUAUUGGCAAAAUCAUCACACAUAACCUCUUUGAUUGCAGGCAGGCUGUUCAUCAACGCUUCUUCUGGUACUCAUUCAGCUCCAUAGAACAUUCCGAUCAGAGAUAAAGACAGAGAGACACCAUUGGGUGGCCGAGUAUCAUGAGAGGAAACACAAGAAGCUCAAGAGAUACCAUAGAUUCUUUUGUGUCUUGCAGAGAGAUUGGCAAGGUGGUUGAAUAAGACAUGAUUGUUCUUAAUUUUGGUUUACUAUUUUCAGGAACUUAUGAUCCUGAUUCCUGGAACUAGAUGGUUUCUUUUGUUUUCUUUCAAACUAAUAUUGUAAUAUAUUCUAGAGAAUUACAGCGUUUCUUGCUCAUUAGAAUAUAUACGAACCAUGCCUGAUAUGAACAGGCCGACCAGAAAGAAAGUGGUUCGAAUCAGUCUUCACCAAAACUUGGGAUUACAAUUAAAGUUGGUGGUGGACUUUAAGAGGAAACAGAGUAACGAGACACCAAAUAUAACACUCAAAUGAUUUCUUUGGACACAAGUAACUGAUAUGUGUUGGGAAGUUUUUGUGGCGUUUAAUCCUUCAAUGUAAAAACAAAAAAAAAGAUGCACAUUUAUGGGUUGGGUGAUCGAUCUUCUCUCAUUCUCAAGUAUGAAAAUGAAUUUAAUUUGAUAUAUUCAGUUGCACAUAAUUUCAUAACUGUCAUAGUGGUACAAAAAAAAAAUCUAAAGUAAAUUACUAACAUUAAUCACUUUGUCAUAAUUAUUUAUGAAUAUACAGUAUUUGUGGUUUAAAUGUUGUUUGGGAUUCGCACUCUAACCCAACUAGGAAGAUAGUUAGAAGUGUAUAAACAAACUUUUUAACCUUAGAACUAAAUGAUUCUAAAACCAAAACGAAUCUUAAAUCAAUUGUAAACUUAACAAUUAUUUUGCAUAAGAACUUAAAUAACCGACACAGAAGAGUAUUUAGAUCAUAAUUAAGAUUUAGUUCGACUUUUGAUCAUCUUGCUCAUAAUUCUAUCAGGAUUUUCAGUUAUAAAAACAAUAAAUUGUAAGUUUUAAUCCUUUCAAAUUUGAAUAAAACCAUGAAUAAGUUAAAAAUAAAUUAUAAUAUAUCUAUCAAUUUAUAUUUAUAAUGGUUUAAAAAACACAUAUAUAUAUAUUCAAAUACAAAAAACAUUGCACAAAAAAAAGAUGUAAUAAAAUACAUGUCAAGAUUAUUAUAUUUUUUAAAGAAAUUAUUAUAGUAAAUAAUUAUUUUUUAAAGAAAUUGUUAUAGUUAGAUAAAUACAUAAUUUUAAAAAUAAAUAGUAAAAUAAAUAGUUAAGAUUAUUGUAAAAGAUUAUGAAAGUUUAUGUUACUUUUAGUGCUGACAAAAAGAGUUAAUACUACUUUUACUUAAAAGUGAAUUUAAAAUAAAUUAAUAUUUUUAUUUUAUUUAUUCGCCCUACGGACGGGUUUAUCCUAGUAUAAAAUAAACAUGACAUGUCAACAAGAAAAACAAAAGUAAUUAACUAAUACACGUACAUUAAACACUACGUACACAAACAAGAUACUGAAACGGUUUGAACAUCUAUAUAUAAAAUAAACACUGAGCAACACUCUUAUAGUUUUAAAUUUACUUAUAUCUAAACGUAAUGUUUUCUUUCUUGACAACAUAUUUGAAAAUGAACUUUAAAACGAAUUGUAGUAAGGAAUCUCUCUCUCUCUCUCUCUCUCUCUCUCUCUCUCUCUCUCUCUCUCUCUCUCUCUCUCUCUCUCUCUCUCUCUCUCUCUCUCUCUCUCUCUCUCUCUCUCUCUCUCUCUCUCUCUAUCUCUCUCUCAUAUCUUUUAGAGAGAGAGAGUGCGAUUUGGGUUCUUGUCGGUUUUGUUCCAACGUUCUCUUCCGGUUUCGGUGUUAUCCGAUCGGAUCAGAUUCCAGCGUCACAUCUUAACUCUCAAUUUUUGUCCGGCUUUUGUCUCUGUCAUCGUUGCCUUCUUCUCCGGCGAUGGCGGUUGGCUUUUGUCUCCGCGUCACACCCUUCUCUGGUGUUGUCGGCGGCUUUCCUUCGGGUUCUUCCCAGCUUGAUGUAUCUUUGCUUCUGGUGGUUCCCUUGCUCAAUCAACUCUCUUUCUUCAACUUCGACUGUUCUUUUCUUUCCCGAGUUGGGUUGUUUCAUCUUUGGGAUUAUUCGAAUUUACAAAGAUGACAGGUUUUCUUCAAGGAAAGUCGAAGUUUUUAGAUCAAUUGAAGAUGAUUGUAUUUUCAUUUUGAAUCGUAGAUCUGGUGGGCGUUUAUGGGUUUCAAUUAAGAUUGCUCCGGUUGAACCUUUUCUUCGUCGAUUCAUCUUUGCCGUCAGCGAGAUUCCGACGCUCCUCCUCUGUAUCACCGGCAGUGGAAAGUGGAGCUUCAUCUUGAUGUGUGUGUGCAUGGUAGAUGGGUGUCUGUACACGUGUAGGACAAUGUGUCCUUUCCUCUUCAAUGGUUUCUGCUUGUGGACUUAGGCCUCAAGUGUUAUGUAAACUCGACAUGUAUGUUCAUCUUCGUUUUAAUGUUUGCUUUGUCCUUUUUGGGUUUUUUAGCUUUAGCCAAUUCUUUUGGUUUUUUUUAUUGUAAAGAUGUAGGGUUUUGUCUCUGUUGGACUUUGUCCCACGUAAUAAAACCCAGGAAGAAAAAGAAAAACCGAAUUGUAGUAAGGCAAUUUGAAAGACUAGUCAAGGUUUAGUC
RNAcentral lists this long non-coding RNA (10012 nucleotides) under Brassica rapa (field mustard). RNAcentral describes it as "long non-coding RNA (BRAP_LNC005179)". The record is from RNAcentral. Lineage: Eukaryota; Viridiplantae; Streptophyta; Magnoliopsida; Brassicales; Brassicaceae.